Molecule: microRNA precursor, 80 nt
Filed under: Tupaia belangeri (northern tree shrew)
Lineage: Eukaryota; Metazoa; Chordata; Mammalia; Scandentia; Tupaiidae
Description: miRNA (ENSTBEG00000017975.1)
Source: RNAcentral
UUAAUACCUGUGGAUCUUAUUAAAAUGCAGGUGCUGGUUGGGACUGAGAUUCUGCAUUGUUAGCAAGCUCCCAGAUGAUG